Molecule: transfer RNA, 82 nt
Filed under: Lachnospiraceae bacterium
Lineage: Bacteria; Bacillati; Bacillota; Clostridia; Lachnospirales; Lachnospiraceae
Description: tRNA-Leu
Rfam family: tRNA
About the family: Transfer RNA (tRNA) molecules are approximately 80 nucleotides in length.
Source: RNAcentral
GCGCCGGUGUUGGAAUUGGCAGACAGGCAGGAUUUAGGUUCCUGUGUAGAGAUACGUGCGGGUUCAAAUCCCGCCCGGCGCA